RNAcentral lists this ribosomal RNA (977 nucleotides) under Bacillus sp. (in: firmicutes). Its description in RNAcentral is "bacterial SSU rRNA". It matches the Rfam family "Bacterial small subunit ribosomal RNA", at positions 49 to 1006 of the family's 1533-position model. The record is from RNAcentral. Lineage: Bacteria; Bacillati; Bacillota; Bacilli; Caryophanales; Bacillaceae.
CUAUACAUGCAAGUCGAGCGGACAGAAGGGAGCUUGCUCCCGGAUGUUAGCGGCGGACGGGUGAGUAACACGUGGGUAACCUGCCUGUAAGACUGGGAUAACUCCGGGAAACCGGAGCUAAUACCGGAUAGUUCCUUGAACCGCAUGGUUCAAGGAUGAAAGACGGUUUCGGCUGUCACUUACAGAUGGACCCGCGGCGCAUUAGCUAGUUGGUGAGGUAACGGCUCACCAAGGCGACGAUGCGUAGCCGACCUGAGAGGGUGAUCGGCCACACUGGGACUGAGACACGGCCCAGACUCCUACGGGAGGCAGCAGUAGGGAAUCUUCCGCAAUGGACGAAAGUCUGACGGAGCAACGCCGCGUGAGUGAUGAAGGUUUUCGGAUCGUAAAGCUCUGUUGUUAGGGAAGAACAAGUGCAAGAGUAACUGCUUGCACCUUGACGGUACCUAACCAGAAAGCCACGGCUAACUACGUGCCACCAGCCGCGGUAAUACGUAGGUGGCAAGCGUUGUCCGGAAUUAUUGGGCGUAAAGGGCUCGCAGGCGGUUUCUUAAGUCUGAUGUGAAAGCCCCCGGCUCAACCGGGAAGGGUCAUUGGAAACUGGGAAACUUGAGUGCAGAAGAGGAGAGUGAAAUUCCACGUGUAGCGGUGAAAUGCUUAGAGAUGUGGAGGAACACCGGUGGCGAACGCGACUCUCUGGUCUGUAACUGACGCUGAGGAGCGAAAGCGUGGGGAGCGAACAGGAUUAGAUACCCUGGUAGUCCACGCCGUAAACGAUGACUGCUAAGUGUUAGGGGGUUUCCGCCCCUUAGUGCUGCAGCUAACGCAUUAAGCACUCCGCCUGGGGAGUACGGUCGCAAGACUGAUACUCAAAGGAAUUGACGGGGGCCCGCACAACCUUUGACACANUUGAGUUNAUUCACAGCNNNCGCCAAAAAGCUUAUCACAGGCUUUGCUGCUNCUGACAACACUAGAGA